Molecule: long non-coding RNA, 556 nt
Filed under: Monodelphis domestica (gray short-tailed opossum)
Lineage: Eukaryota; Metazoa; Chordata; Mammalia; Didelphimorphia; Didelphidae
Description: lncRNA (ENSMODG00000042829.1)
Source: RNAcentral
GAAAGGAGCCAAGGCGGAUAUCUUCAUAAGAUAAGACAGCGUCGGGUCGCUAAGGCCCGGGGAAAGAUACAGUCCCGCCUCGGGGAAGAGAGCGCUAGGCUCUUAGCGAAGCCUGUGGCUCCGUCGAAUCCCCGGGCAGAGGAGAGGGAAGCGGACAACUCACCCCGGGACAGCAAGGUUACAUCAGACUUUCUUCAGAAAGUGGGGGAAGUGAUCCAGGAAGCAGGAGUCAGAUAUUCGAAGCUCAUUGUCCAUUGGUAAUGCCAUUAAUUUCAAUUAUGUUUGUUGGUCACUGAAAGCAGAAAGGAGGAUGUGCUUAAUUAUUCAUAGGAAAAACUACUCCAAGACCUAGUGGAAAAUUUUCAAUAGAGUUAACCAAGGCACUACAGCUCUCUUUGUAGGAUUAAUUCAUGCCAUUAGAUGGAGCAAUUGAUCCACUGAAAAUGAUUGUUGCUGCUGUCUGAGGUCUAGUAUUGGGAAAUUCAGCUUUAUUAUAAAGCCGAAAACAGAUUUCCCUAAUAAUAAAAAGAUAAAGCAUGAAAACUGGGUUACUUAG